RNAcentral lists this ribosomal RNA (253 nucleotides) under uncultured bacterium. RNAcentral's name for it is "partial 16S ribosomal RNA". It matches the Rfam family "Bacterial small subunit ribosomal RNA", at positions 524 to 776 of the family's 1533-position model. The record is from RNAcentral.
UACAGGGGGGGCAAGCGUUGUUCGGAUUUACUGGGCGUAAAGAGCUCGUAGGCGGUUUGUUGCGUCGGCUGUGAAAACCUGAGGCUCAACCUCAGGCCUGCAGUCGAUACGAGCAGACUAGAGUGUUGCAGGGGAGACUGGAAUUCCUGGUGUAGCGGUGAAAUGCGCAGAUAUCAGGAGGAACACCGGUGGCGAAGGCGGGUCUCUGGGCAACAACUGACGCUGAGGAGCGAAAGCGUGGGGAGCGAACAGG